GCUAGGAUCAUUUGAAAGCUUCAGU
RNAcentral lists this non-coding RNA (25 nucleotides) under Cricetulus griseus (Chinese hamster). The record is from RNAcentral. Lineage: Eukaryota; Metazoa; Chordata; Mammalia; Rodentia; Cricetidae.